Molecule: long non-coding RNA, 4084 nt
Organism: Poeciliopsis prolifica (blackstripe livebearer)
Lineage: Eukaryota; Metazoa; Chordata; Actinopteri; Cyprinodontiformes; Poeciliidae
Exons: 2
Source: RefSeq, a predicted model, not a curated record
UCUUUCGCUCGCGCUAAAGCAGAGCAAAGAUGGCGUAGGAGCGGAGGGAGAAGGAAGGAGAGGACCUUCUUCUCUCCCCCUCGCCGUGUCCAGGAGAGGAGAGAAGGGGGUCCGCCACCGUGAAGCGUCCUGUGAGACUGCGGAGUCGUCUCAUGGGAGUAAACAACCUGGCUGUCCUGCAGGUGAAGAGGACCCUGAAUGUGUCACCGCAGAGGAAGGAUCCCCCCCGGCUUUUGUUUACCAUUGUGUGCGGCUGCAGCAGCAGCAGCAGCUCAGAGGAGCAGAGGAAAUGUUUCUACAUCAUUUCACACUCAGUGAAACCGAUUUUUACAGGUGGAGAGAUGGAGCCGAUCCCGGGAGAAGACCCAGAACCGCCGCUUCUGCCGAGCCCAAGGGAACUGCAGCUAAGCUAACCCCCUUUUGGGGUCCUCACUCUCCUCCCGCUGCCUUUCCUGCUGUUUUCUGGGACACUGGAUAUCUCUCUCUUGUCCACAGCACUCCCAUUUGUCCUGACCUCUUUCUGCAGCCCAAUCAUCAGAGAGGAACGCUCGCAGCAUUUCGGAUUUACAAAGAUUUAAAGUCGUCCAGCUUCGGACAUAAAAACUAUAACAUAAAGCCUGGUGUACUGACACCUGUUUAAUUUGCUUAAAGAAAUGGGUGAUUUCUGGGUGACGCCUAUGUAAACGGAGUUGCUUUUCAACCGCACAAGAGGUUUGAUAAUGAGUAAACUAUAUGUGUUUUUUUCCGAAGAACCUAAAGACACAACAUACUGUAGCAAAUAUCAAACGCCUGUGAUACAAAUUAAGAUUUGUUGAUUCAUUUUCCUUUUCUUUUCAACUACCUCAUUGCCACAGUAAGUCCAAUGGGAUCGAGAGGAGCGUUUUCUGAACAAAGGCGUUACGGAGCACCUCAGCAGUCAUUUUUGUCUGUCCAUCAAUGUUUCAGUAUCGAAGUCAGGGAGUUGGCAGGAGAGCAGAACGUAAAUAUGCUGUUGCUUAUAUUCAGGUAUGAUGAGACAACUGCUUUCAUUUAACCAGAAAUAUUUAGGUCGCUGAAAAUGUACAGCUAAAUUUGGACUCCUAAUAAGCAGGGGGAAAAACCAAAGUCCCUGCCAGAUUACAGUGUGCAGCAACGUGUGGGGAAGGGUCGUGGCUAGACAUCUCUGUUCAGAGCUCUUUGUCUGGCAUCUCGUUAAAAGCAUUUUUGUGUUUCUUAAAUUCAGUCUUUAAAAUUUUAUUUGCAACCGAAAUUUAUUUCCAUCUUGCUGCCGUUUUUCUGGAGGGGGAUGAGAUUGGUUAUGUAAUAGUGAUGCAUCACGGAAAUUCGGGAAGUUUAGAUGAAGCAGAGAAUGAGUGAAGUCGGCGGUAAAUAUCGGUUAUCGCCCAAAAUGGCAGUAUUAAUAUCGGGGAUUGGUAUCAGCCCAAAAGUUCCCUUCGGUGCAUCCCUACUUCGUACCUUGAUGCUAAUAUCCAGCUCACGCCUGGCCAAGUCUGCAUAGCGUCAAGAGUUUACGUCUCACACUUCUUGCAGCUUACAAAUGGCUUCCCCGCUUUAGUUCAUUUCAUUUUUUUGCCACAUACAUGUAUAGGGAAAACAACGACAUCAGAAUUACUCUUUACCGGGAUCUGUGCAAUAUUUGAUCUUAACUGUCAUGUUGUUGACCAAACUGUAUAUUGUAUAAAACAAGUGACAAGUUGUUUGAAAGCAACAAAAUCACCAAUGUCUUCCAUUAAGAUAUGUAUAGACUCAUGUGCGUUAGCUUAUUUAGCGGGACUGUGGUGCCAAAAAAACAUCAUAGUAGCCAUGCAUGACCAGUAGUAAUGCUUGCUUCAUCAAGAGUAUCGGUUUUGUAGGCCGAGCUGAAGCUCAAAUCUGUGGAGUCCAUUUCAGUAAAAACUAGGGAGCAUUAGCCUCACAUACUUAAAAACCUCUAGGUACAUCAAAUUUAGAUACCGCUUUAACCUGAAAUCUAGUGCUUGAGCUCUGUUUUAAGGCAUGUAUAUGCUAGUAGGAAAUAUAUAGCAUGACACAGUUGGGAUGCACCAUUACAAAGAGGUGCACCAAACAUAAUUUUGUGGCUUUUGUACGUCUUUGACCUGCCGACAUCGAUUUUAGUCUUUUAUGACUUCUCUUGAACUGUAACAUGAAAUCAUGACUGCGUUCAAAAUAUUUCUCGUCAUCCUGUCGUGAUUGGAGAUAGAUUGUGUACAGCGAGAGCCGAGGCCGUGUCACAUUGUCUGUGAAAGAGGAGUCGCUGUAGAAUAGGGUUUGCAAGUAUUUUAGUGAAGUUUAAGGAUGUCUGAUUUUAGUUCUUACCAUUGUUAGCGUAGCUAGCGUUACAGAAACAGCAUAUCUGUUACUCGCUUAUUAGCUGUUAAGGUUUAAAGCUCUGUAAGAUAGCAACCUUGUCCACUCUGUUCAGCCUUCCUGUUUUCUGCUGCAGUCUGGCUCUCUCUCGCCAGACUGCCGCCGUUGAGAGAGCUGUACACUAUGAAUGAGUCACAGACGACAGCUGCAUUCCCAUGAACCAUAUAAUUGCACAAAUUGAUAUUUUUAAAAUAAAUUAGCUUAAUGGAAACACGGCACUUUCGAAGAAGCUCUCGUUUUUUGAUAAAAAGUUGUCUCUAGGAUGAGGCGCCUUUCUGACCGUAGAGAAAUUGUUUUUUUUGCAAAACUGCAGUGGAAAUACUAUUUUCAAAUCACCCGAGUCACAUGAUGAACAAACAUAUUAACAUGUGAUAUUGAUUGCGUUUCAUAUUUAAUGUAAACUUUUUUUAAAAAGUCAUUCGCAUAAUAUCAACAACAUUUUGCGCACAUUUGGAAUGGAAACGUAGCUUACGGUGAAUUCGCUGAGUUUGGAUCUCUUGGUGCACCUCUGCAUGAGUUAAUGUUUGUUUUUUUUCUUUUUUUAGACCACAUUGUGGUCUGUAAAGUUUUAACAUAAGAGCCAAAACUUUUUUUUCGAGAACCUUUACAGCAGUGAUUUUAGGAGGAGGACCUCAAGUCCCCAACUCAGCAUCCUGCAUAGGUGGUGCUGCUAGUCCUCAUUGCAAAAUUGUACAAGUGACCUCAUAGUUUUGGGAUUCAGAACAUUCUAUUUUAAUCCACAUAAUUGUAUUUAAUUAGAAUUUUUAGAAGCAAUAACCUGAAAUAAUGCAUGAAUAUAGCUCCAGGAGUUGGUGUUAAAAGGACUGUGUUAACAUCUCAUUGAAAAUCCCCCCCUUUCUCUUGCUCUCUGCCUUUGAACUCGCAACAUUAGCCACCUACUUCCUUUUAUUGCAUCUUUACUUUUUAGCCUGAUUUAGUUUCAGUCGUUGCUGAACAUGGAAAAGGCUUUAAAUUUGAACUCUUGUAGCAUCCACAAAGACCCUCUCCUCGUCUGCGAGUUGCAGACUUUAAAGUAACUGGCUGAACGACGCUCACGUGAAAAGCACUUUCUCUCCACGUACUGACUUGCAGCGCCCAUCGUCACCGUCACGUCCUGAACGCUGUGUUCCGGCAACCCUGUCAUGUUCUUUCUGGUGAUUCAUAAUCCCAAUUUAUGAGCAAGUAGACGUCCAGGUGAUAUGAAUUUGUGGGUUUAAAAAAAAAAAUAUGCAUGAUUUAGCAGAAUAACGAAUGACUUGUAUUGCAUGCAAUAACCUAAUCUUGUAAUGUGAAUGAGUGUAAUUAUAGGGGGUGUGGGGGGGGGAGUAUUAUGAUUCUCCAAUCCAACUGAAGGUAAUACCGACAGUUUUAUCGAUUAGAUAUAUAUAUAUCAUUAAAAGAAAAAUGGAAAAGUUAGUUUUUUUCCUGUUGUGUCACAUGCAACCUGGCAGUACCACUACAGUGCAGCUCUGCAGUUCUUGUUCCCAUGAGGAAAACUUAACAAAAGCUUUGGCAAGAUUUCUGAAAUUUACUUUGUUGCUCAACUUUUCCACUGAGAUAGUGGGCUGUAUAGGAACUAUGCACUACAGAGGGAGGAAAUGGGCAUGCCUAAUAUGUGUACGCCUCUUGUCUGGUUUUGUAAUAAAUGAAUAAAAAAAAUAAAUAAAUCUGUAUCAGAAAAAAUUAAGCAAUAAACAGCAGCAUGGUGCCAAUUGAA